Molecule: long non-coding RNA, 11032 nt
Filed under: Gossypium barbadense (sea-island cotton)
Lineage: Eukaryota; Viridiplantae; Streptophyta; Magnoliopsida; Malvales; Malvaceae
Description: long non-coding RNA (GBAR_LNC015839)
Source: RNAcentral
UCCGAACUUGGGGUGGUGGAAAUACUUGGGAGGAAGCUUGGGAAGCGGAGGGCACGGCUUCUUCGUAAAUGGAGGAAUCUUCGGAAGAGGAGGAAGUGGCUUGUGAGGAAUAGGAGGGAAGGGUUUCGGUUUGUAAAUAGGAACCGGCGGUGGAAGCGGCUUCUUAUAAACCGGUACCGGAUGAGGCUUAUAAACCGGUGGUUUGUAGACAGGAACCGGCGGUGGAAGCGGCUUCUUGUAGACCGGCACCGGAUGAGGCUUAUAAACCGGUGGUUUGUAGACAGGAACCGGCGGAGGGAGUGGUUUCUUGUAGACCGGCACCGGGUGAGGCUUAUAAACCGGUGGUGGAAGAGGUUUCUUGUAGAUGGGAGGGUGAGGGUAAUGAUGGUGGAAGCUUUUCAAUGGCGGAAGUGGUGGAAGCUUAGGCAAUGGAGGGAAGUUGUGGUGGUGGUGAGGCCAAAAGGAGGCUGAGACACAUGUUAUUGGUGAGAAUUUGAGGUUCUCUUUUAACCCAAACUGGUGUUUCUGGUCGGUGGUGGAUUUGAAAACUAGCUUAGAGGAUUCUAAGCCAUUAAUGGAAGGGCAAGGUUGAGGUGAUGAUACAGUGCGAAGCUGUGCGUAGCAAUGUUCAUUCAAUUUGCCAUCUUUGAACAAGUGUUGUGGAAGAGAGACUUUGAAAUUGCCUUGUUUGUCAAGCUUUCCAGACCCUCUGGUUUUGAAAUGGUCACCAUUUUCUGGCUUGCAAUCUAUGGUUACACGAAGACCUAGAAAGAGAAAACGCCAUUAUCAUAACAUCAUAAAUAUUGCUUCAAAUUAAAGAAAGGGAGAAUACACCAUUAACAUAACAUCAUAAAGUUUAAUUCUCUAAUGUUAACAAAAUGUUAGUGUGAUGGUUCACUGGUAGAUUUAUACACUAAUAAUGAAUCAAAUAAAAACCUCUUUUUACUAUUUUUUAGAGCUUUUGCCUUACUCGUGACUAAAAUUUUUAAAUUUUUGGGGAGAAGUGUAUCUUUAUUUAAGCAGCUUUUUGUUUUAUGUAUAAGGUGUAAUGCAGAUUUAUCCCUAUCAUGAGUGCUUGAGUAUCAACUCUUUAAUUGACCAUCGUCAAUACAAAAGUAUGUACAUAUAAUUGAGUUUGAACUUGGAUAUGUAUGUAUAUCAAUCUUAGUGUAAUAAUAUGUGUGUUGAGGAGAGGUCGCGCUUUGGGCCAAUCUUGGACCCUCAAUGAAGGUAUUGUUCUCUGGAUUUCUAUACUCGGUUUUAACUUUGAGUUUUUGUCUCAUAACUUUGAAGGGAGUCCAAAAGGGUUCGCGAAAUUUGAUGGAGCGCCUACUCCACCAAAGAAAUGUUUAACAUUUGGCCUUAAUGGGUUUUGAACUCAUGCCCUUAUAUGGCAUUAGUGGGUAAGAACUAGAUCUGUUCAUGGGUCGGGUUAUCCGCUUAAGCCUAAAGGCCCAUCAGAAAUUUGAAAGGGUUUGAGUAAAAAAUUAGGCCUGAAAAAUAGAUUUGGACAAAAAAAUAGGCCAAUUUAUAAUAUGGGUCGGGCUCGAGGCUUGAACAUUCAAGGCCUGAGCCUGACCCGACCCAUUUUUAAGUUUAUAAUAUUUUAUAUUAUGUUAUUUUUAUAUAUUAUAUAAUUUAGAACACAUUAAAAAAAAUAAACCUAUACUAAAUAUAUAAUACUACUCUAAUGUAAAUAUUAAAAUAAAGUUCAGAUGACUAUAUAAAAAUUUUCAAUAAAUUAAAAAAAGUAUAAAAUUAUUAAAUAUUAAAAUAAUAUAAUAUAAAUAUUUUUAAAAAAUUUAAAAAAUAAUAUGGGUGGACCUAAAAUAGGCUUGGGUUAGUCUUUUGCAAAUAUGGGCUUGUUUGAGUAAAAUUUUAAGCCUAUAUUCCGGGUCGGACCAGGCUUGGACAAGCAUAAAGUAUGUUAAUAUCAUGCCUAAGCCCGACUCGAACCUAUGAACACCUCUAGUAAGAACAUUACCGUGAACUUUCUUAGGCUCUCCUUAAAAUACAAGUGACAAAACUCAGAUAAUCAAACAUCAACACCCACAAACAAUACUUCUGAGGAUCCGGAACCGACCCAAACAACUAACUCCCCCCAGCAAUAUAGGCCACUACAACAUGCAAGGAAUGGCCUCGAAAUUAAUUGAGCAGCUUAGAUGAAAACAAUACCUGAAAAUGCUUGGGUGGUGUCCAAGUUAUUCUCUUUGCAAUCUGUGCAUUCACCAACCCCGACCACUUCAACUGUUUUACCAUCACCGUUAGCAUUGCAAAAUGUGGUCACAAAUAAUAAUGACCAUACUGUGAACGCCACAAGUGCUCUUCCUCGAAACUCGAGGUUCUCCAUUGUUAUUGCUUCUGAGGUAGUGAUAUGAUAUCAGAGAUUGGAUACCAAAGCCUUAUUAUAUAAUGGUGUUCAAAAGGGAUCAUGGGAUCACCAUUUUCAAUGGCUUACCGACACCACACUUAAAUGCCUCACAUAAGGUUAGGGAACGGGACCCUCACCACCUCUUUGAGAUGACUUUGGUGUAGACACGUAGUUUAAACUUUGGUUUGAUAUGAUCAUCAUAAAAAAAAUUAAUAAUUUAAAUUUGAAAUGAUUUUGUUGAGUAUUUUUAUUGUGUAUUUUCUUAAUGGGUGAAACAGAUAUUUAUUUGAUAUGGUUACUGUUCAUGGAAUUGACGUUCUAGGUAAGCUCCAUGCAUAUCGACACGUAUUCUACUCUAGACUUAACACGUGUUUGUUGGUCCAGGUGCUCGCCAGUUCAUUCAUUUAGCUUUGUACCCUGUGCGAACUGUGCUCGCAAGCCCUCCCCGUGAGCCCCUUAACGACUCCACCUGGUGGGGUCCAAACUCGGGUCGUAGGUCGGUAGCUCGGGUUAUAUUCGAGUUUCAGGUUGGCAAUUGGAUAUCCCACAAUAGAUCUAAUUCGAAAAUUGAGCUUCAAAUUUAAAUGAUUUGAACCUAAAACAACCCGAAAUUGAAAUGGCUCGAACUUAAAACAAGUUAAACUCAAAAUGAUUCAAACCCAGAAUUAAUUUGAAAAAUCGAGAUAACUCAAUCUAGACUGAUUGGUCUAAAACUGAUCCAACCCACUCAAUUUAUAAGUGAAUUCGGUGUAAUGGUUUGAAAAAGAUUGUGAUGUUACCUGAAUGACCCGAACCCAAAAUAACUGGAAAUUAAAAUGGCUCGAACUUAAAAUUGUUCGAAUCUAAAAUUGAUUCAAACCCAAAAUUAACAUGAACUGAAAUAAUUUUAAAAUUUUAAAAUUCGAAUUAACCCGAUCUGAAUUUGCUUUGAUCUAAAACUAAUUCAACCCACUUAAAUUACAAGUGAAUUUAGUGUAAUAGUUUGAAACCAAAACAACUUUAAAUUAAAAUGAUUUGGACCUAAAAUAAUUCGAAUUCAAAGUAAUUUAAACUCAAAAUUAAUCUGAAAAUUGAUACGAUUUAAAUUAAUUUGAUCCAAAACUAACCCGACCCACCUAAUUGACAGAGUGUUUAGUGUAAUGGUUUGAAAAAGAUAGUAAUGUGCCACAACCCCACAACCCCACAACCAUUUGUUGAAUUAAGCUAAUGAUAGUAUCUUUCAUUGAAUGAGCCCUCAACUGCACAACGAACAGCUAAAUUAUGCUUUGUGUUUUCUCAUCUGCAUUUUAAAACCUACUUACUAACUUUCAUAAAUAAUUUUUUCUAUAUUUACACAAUUCUUUGCUGAAUUACAAAAAUGGUCCUUCAAUAUUCAACUUAAUUUGAAUUAUUUAAAUUGUGCAACAUAUGAAUUUCGAAUAAAUCAACCACACAAAUGCCAACCAAUUUAAUUAUUACUCAAAAAAACCACUUGCUUUCUAAGUUGUUCUUAGUCAUCACUAUCAUAAUUAAGCUCAUUUUGUGAGACAACCCUUUGACUAUUUUUCAUCUAAUAAAUAUGGGGUUCAUCCAUGUGGCCAUGAAUUUGCAAGUCCCCCCCCCCUCCCCGCCUUUGAUCCAAACUUGGGCCAAACCCUAAUCCUUGAAUUUUACUUUUAUUAUUGAAAGCACAUGGUGGAGGUGGACCCUUUCUUUGACCAUCAAAGAUAAUCUAGUAACUUUGCCAAAAGAGGUCUCUAGAAAUGAAACCAUUUGUUGUAGAUUGAAGGUAGAUAGGGUAACCUCAGAUAAUAUUAUAAUUCACCCUAAUGGAUUAAAGAAAAUCGUUCUUCUUGAAUUUGAUUUUCAAAGCAUACUCCGAAGUUUAAGUGAGAGUCGGAGAGAGAUAAGAAACAAACUAACUAGUGCCGGUACGUUUAAUAUCGUCUUAUUUUUUUGUGAACCGUCUCAUUUUACUCUAAAACAUAAUGUCAACUAAUAAGGAUGUGACACGUAGCACGUUUACAUUGGACGUCAUACACUUUUAGGGUAAAAUGAAAAGAAAUUGAUAGUUUAGAUAUCACUUUUGAUUAAAAAAAAUUAGGUACUUAACUGAGGAAAACGAUAUAAAUUGAGAGUCAAUUUUGUAAUUAAGCAAAAAGAAAAACAUCUUUCACAUAAAUUAAUGGCAAUGCUGGAUUUAGUUACACUUCUUUUUCACAAAUCGGUUUUCAAGUGAUGUGAUUACCAUGUGAUUAAAAGGAAAAACAAAAUCAAUCAUGGAUUUAAAUGUUGAAAAUGUAGUUAUAGGUCACAUACAAAAAUGUAGGGUCAAACAUUACUUAAAUAUUUUUCAAUUAAGGACAACAUUAUGCACCUUAAUAUUUGGUGAGAUGGAGUUUCCCUAUCAAGCUUGCUAAUUAGUAGGGUAAAGGUGUAUUCAUGUAAUCUUAUAUUUUAACAAAAGUUGUGAAUAUAGACCAAUAAAUCUAUUUAUAAAUUGAGUUGGGUCAAAUUUCGUAAUAAAAUCUUGAUGAAAGUUAUUACUUAUAGGUUUUCAUACCAAGGGCACAAUCAAAUUAAGCUCGUAGGGUCUACCAAUUUCGUUAUUAAGAUCUCAUUAAGAUACCUUUCUCCCUCCUUUCCCCUCCUUUCAUUUGUUUACUUUCUUUUGUUUAUUUAUUGGCUUUGUUUUGAUGUGAAACUGUUGAAUUUAGUAGAUAUAGAUACAGAUUCUUAUAUCGAAGGGUCUUUACCUAUUUUGUUUUGUUUGUUUAUCAUCUUUCGUCCCUAUCAGAGACCCAUAUUUAUUUUUAUUUGGUCCAAUCAGAAAACAUUUUAUCAUUUCUGUAUUCGCAAUUCAAUAUAGAUAGAUAUUCCAUAACAUAUCUAUGUCCCUCUUACUCUCAAUUUUCUCAGGCAAUUUGGUGGAAUACUCGAACGGUCGAUUUUUUUUUUCGUCUUAGCUUCUGUCUUUAUGAUCUGGAUUUCAUUUCUAUGGGUUGCAAUUUUUUUUCUUUAAUGUCAUUUUUAUUCUUAUAUAUAACCAUAACAGGAAUAGGAUAACUAAAAAAAAAUAAAAAUAAAAAUUGAAUUUAUUAUUAUUUCUUUAUUUCUUUAUAGUAUAAUAGCUAGAACUAAUUAUUUAUAUUUAAUAAAUACAACUAAUUAUCCAUUCAUUUCUAUUUCAAAUUCGAAAAUAAUUCAAAUUUUUUAGUUUAAAAAGAGUUCCCAUUCUAAUUAUCUAUACUUAUAACGUAUCAUUUCAUUUAUAUAAUGAUAAUAUAUAUAAAUACAUAAAAAUAUUUGGACUCUAAUUAUAUCUAUGCAGAACUCUAAGCUAAAUAAAAAUAAAUUUAAUCUAUAUUAAAUCUAUUAAAUUGAUCGAUUAAAUAAAUUCUAUAUAAUUUAGAAAAUAAGAAUAGAGUCAGUAAUAUUAGGAAUAAUUAAUAUAGAAUAUACUAAUAGAACCAAGAUAUCAUUUGUUUCUAAAUUUAAAUGGAAUUUGAGAUUUAAUAUUUGUAAUUAAAAUUUAAAAAAAAUUAAAUCAUCCCAUUUUUUACUAAAAAUAUUUGUAAUUCAAUAAUUGACGUGGACAAUAUUUUCUAUUUAAAUUUUAAAUUCAAAAAAUAUAUACUUGAUAGUAAAUAUUAAUAAUGUGAAUGAUUGAAGUGAGACUAGCCACAUAUUUUAAAAUUUAAGUUGAUAUUAAUAUUUAUACAUUUUAAAUAAUUAAUAAUAAUUGGACGGAGGAAGUCUAGUGACUAGUCUUUUGAGUUUUGACUUAUAGAUCUGCCCCUUAAGGGGGUUUUUAAUGUAUGACUAAUAUAAUGCCGAAAAGUUAGGUGAUAAGAAAAAAGAAUUUCUUUUAGCCCAACUUAUUGUCUAAUUCAAUACAAAUAAAUCAAUAUAUUUCAGAUAAAAAUAUUAAUAUAUUUGGAACUUAGAUAAGGCUUAGUGACAUGGAUAAAGCUAGAAAAUUGUUUCAAGAGGAAUUAGAGAUGAAUAGUAAAUUAUUAAAGGGUUAAGAUGUAAUUUUAUCAUUAUAAUAAUAUGUAAUUUUUAUAAAAAAAAAAAUUUGAAGGGAUUAAAUGACAAAGGCCUCUUCGUCCUGCUGGAACUUAAAUUCAGAUUAAUCUAAAAGAGAAUCUAGGCCAGACAUUUGUAUCAGAUGAUAUUCGAAUCUAAACCACCGACUUCAACCUGACCAACUAUGACACAUUAUUCGUACGUCUAUAAAUUGGAAUGGUAAUAAAGUUGAAAAUUAUGUGUUGUGAUUGGACCUAUCUUUGGGGUUGCUUUUUUUGCCUACGUGAGGGAAUCCUUAAUAGAGAAAGCUUCGGGCAGUAUUCGGGUAUAAGGUGGGGAUUGUUUUGGUACUUUUGCUUCGUAGGGUUCACGGUGGAUUUCAGAACAUGAUUUAAUUUGCCUGAUUUGAAUGAUUUUUCUAAAAUAAAAUAAUGACUUUUUGCUGUUUCGGUAUAAGUAUUUUUCUUUUUUUCUUUUUUCUUUUUCUUUUUUUUUUUUUGAGUUGAUUUAGAAUUAGAUGAAAUUGAUUUUGAAUUUAAAUCCAUUUCUAAUUUAAAUUUAAAAAGGUUCAAACUGUUUCGAAUUCAAUUUAAGACUUGCUUUUUCGGAUCAAUUCAAAUCCAUUUGAGUUCAAGUUCAAUAGGUUCUAAUUUGUUGAUUUUUUUUUAUCACUAAAUUGAUUGUGAAAUUUAGGUUCAAAUUCCAAAUUCGAUAAUUGAUCACUAGAAAUGUAAGUUAAAAAAUCAACAUGUUUAAACCUGAAAUCGAUUACAAAAGGAACAUAACAAGGGAAUUUAAUGUAUACUUCCCAAUAGCAGUGAAAACGUGACAGCGGCUGUGACCAAGGUUUCUAACACACCACCACCACACUGAUAAUACUUAAGUUUAACCCAGAAACCAAAAAUCCGAAAUCCGAUGAACAAAGAAACCGAGAAAAAAAAAAGAAGUAAAAUUAGUCCUGCCUCGUAUCACAGUUAGUUUCGCUUCUACAAGCCUCGAUUUAAGCAUCCUCAAGAAAAGAUGUAGUGAAAACCGAAAAAGUUCAAAUGCUACAACAGCAAAGGUAUAUAUGUCUAUUUUCCUGGCCUAAUUCUCAGAACUACCUGCGCCCUCACUUACAAUUUUUCCAAAUGCCUUGGCAAGAGUUACAAUAGCCCGAAUUUAGCGAUCACUUUUCUCAUCUACUUCUUCUUCUUUGAUUUGGAAGCCGACUGAGUGUAAGCAGUUCCCUGAAAAUUAUGACGACCAAAACCAGAAAUUGUCAGUAACACUCCUAUAUAGAUCAUUAUUUGAUGAAGUCCCAUGGUGAACUCAUGAAUAACCUCAAUCAUAUCCAUUGAAUAAACAGAUAACGAGCUCUUGGGGACAAGAGCAGUGAAAAGAAAAUCUAGCUAAAAUAGAAAGAAUGGGAAGUGAUGAUGAUGAUGAUGUGAUGCAUAAGCCAAGACAUAACCUGAAGCCAUUCAUCCAGUGAAGCAUCGGGAGCCCUGGUCCCAACUUCCACCUUUGGAGCCCUCUUAGUUUUCUAGCAAAAUAAAUAAGUCAAAACACAUUAGCUUUAUUCCACAAAAAGAAGCAUAAAACACAUAAAGUAACACUGCAAAUUGAAGCUUUCUUCAAUUUAAGAACAAAAUAUCACGGAUAUUUAACAUUUUCACAGCAAAACAGCUUGCUGAAAACUUGAAAUAGGUCAUGAAUGCUAGAAACCUAGAACAAUGUUGAUUUCCCUACAUGUAUGCAUGGAUGUGCUCUUUUAAUUUCUAUCAGCAAAAGCCUUGUUACAUCGAUCUUAUAAUAACUGGAUACUGCAGUGAAUUAAUAUAACAAUAGCAAGGUAGCACAACUACAAUACCUUGGUGAUACGCUGAAAUUGACCGUGAAGCCACAAACCAAGGAGAACAAGAAGUGCAAUCCCAAGGGUAACAAGGAAAACGGACUCAACACUGAGGAAACCACCAGCCUCAACAACUUCAAUGGUACCAUUAUAGAAUGUACUUUGGUAUGGUUGCUGAUCAAUAUCAUAGAUAAUCGAACCCACAAGAUCAAAAGUUCCAGGCUGCAGCAAAAUUCUGGAUGUGUAAGCUCUACCGCAACUGUACUUCUCACAGAGAAUUUAUAUACGGUACCAAGGCAUAAAUCUCACGGAGUAAUCAUUUACCUGUAAGUACUUGCUAACAGCAAAUACGUAAGGGAAAGUAGCUUGAACUGAAGGGGGUACAGUUGCAUUGUUGAAAGCCUACAUUAACACAGACAUAUUCAGUUCUAGAAUCUACAAGGAAACAUCACAAGGCAGCUUUCAUGCAACAACAUAAGCUGUAAAACUCCAAAAUUACAAGGAGCAUGACCAACUUUGUACCAACAGAGAGCCUUGAGAUCUUUUUCAAAUAAAGAAGCAAAGAUUUGAUAAUGAAGUAGGCAAAAAAAAAAAAAAAAAACAGCGCAGCAUUAUUAUUGCAAAACGACCAGUUAGAGCAUGAAUGCCUUACAUGCUCAAUUUCAUAUCUGAAAAUCAUUGUAAGGUCUACAAUUAAAAGUUAAAGAUACAGCAAAAUCUACACUAGUACCAAACCCUCUGCUAAAGUUUCUUAAACUGAGAUAUAUAACUUCUCAGUGCAAGUUCAACAUCCCUCCACCAUAUUAACAAGCACUGGUUAAAAUAAUUGACUCUACUAUAAGACUAUAACUGUUAUAGCCUAUUAGUGUAGGGAAGCAGUUACAAAUGAAACACAAACUAGUGUCGCAAUGCAUAAAACUCAUAUUAUUGACCAUAUGUUUGACAAUGGAUAUUUAAAACAUCCAAUAAGAUAUCAUAUCAACAUGAGAGCAUGCAUGUUUCAAUGCUCAUGGGGUUAAGCUGGCUUGUCAAGCCUCAAGUAAUGAAGGCUUAAAUAGAGAAUAACUCUUUAGUUAUUAUUAGGUAUCCUAUAGGCAAUGAUCUAGUAGUAUGAAGAUUGGGGCACCUAAUAACUGAAAUUAAAACCCUUUCUGUGCUAGCUUUGCUAGGUUAGAAAGAGAUAAUGUUUCUACUUGGUGGCAAACAACCACUGAAUUGUACUGGUCGCUGGCUUUGUACUGAUGACGGUAUUAUUAAUAAAUGACCAUACAACCGCACUCUUUUUCCACUCUUCAUUUAGAAUAGUGGUUUUUUAGUGGGGCACAUUUUUCAUUAAAAAAUCAAUGAAUGCUAAAUUGUAUUUUAUAAAACAAACUCACUGAAUGAUUAAUUUUAUUUAUCAAAACUAAAGGGCUAGAUACUAAAUUAUAAAAAGCUCUUCAGUUAGGAAAUAAUAGAAAUUAAUCAAAAUGAAAACUGAACUAACUAAUGUAUCAGGAGUAUUUGAAAAUGUUAAACCAGAACAAUAUCAAGAAACUCUAUGAUUACCACUGCUGUAAGAUUUUGAACAAGCAUACGGUGAUCAAAAGGGAGAUGAACACUGGCUUUGAUAGCAAUGACAUUCACAGGUGACUCCCCUGCAAUUUAAAGAAGUAAGCUAUGCAUAAGAGUGAAGGAAACCUCAAAUGGCUAACAGAAAAGACUAAGCAUUUAAGCAUAGUCAACUACGGAAAGAUAAACUGUGUGUUGCUAUCUCAACACAGUAAAAACAAACAUCAUUGUAAAAUAUAUAUCAGUAAGGUAGUGAAGGCAAAUUAUUACCAAUAUUUUCCAUCCCAACAAGGAGCUCAGUCUGUUCUCCAGCCAGAACCACUGUCCAAGAUUAGCCAAAAAGACAAUACACAUCACUCUCAAAAUCAUAAAACAUUGAAAUCAGAGAUGCGGCACCAAAAAGUUCUUACAUUUGGCGCUAUUUUUGGGGAAAACGCAAACAGUUUUAACUUCAGGAGCUGAACUGUAAUUAGGAUCACCAAAAUCCUGAACAUCCUCCCCAACAAUACCGAGAUCACCUCCUUCAACAGCUUCUGCAACAUCUGCCUCUGCUUCUGAUUGACACCUAGCAACUAUCACAGAAAAGAAAACUCAUGUGAAGCCAUAAUUUUAAAACAAAAUGAAAAUUUAUUUAGUAAUUUACCAAAAAAAAUAAAAAAGUAAACAAAAAUUAAUACAACAAACAGAUCCGACAUCCGGAAUAACUGCUUCAAUAAUGUUAUUGAAAAGGACACCAAACUCCAAAGUACUUGCCAAGGCCCUAGUACUCUUUCCUUUCAUUUUCCAAGAGCAAACCUAAACUGUAUUUCUAAAACAGCCACUAAAAUGCCAGUAAGAACAGAUAUCAAGAAGAUACCUAAGCUUCUUUCAAAAAAAUUCAAUCGAACUUUCAUAAUCACAGCCAUGCAACGCAACAAUGAAUUUAAACACAAAGAAAUCACUUCAAAAUCCCACUACCAAAUCAUAAAUCUAGAAAGAAAAAAAAAAACAAACCAAUCUCACAUGGAUGUUAAAAAAAAGCGAAAGAAAUGAUACUAAAGGAAAACAAAUCGAAUUGCUUCUCAUUUAACCAGAUCAAAGCAAUCGCAGUAAGCAACUAAGCAUGAAAUCCAAAAAGCAACAUAGAAACUCCACAAAAUGAAACGAAUCGGUAAGCAUAAAUACCUAAUUACAGAUCUUAAAUAUAAAAAAGCAAGUAAAAACAGAUCAAGAAAAAAAAAUUUACAAACCUUGAAGGAAAGGAGAUGCGAGGAAGAGGAGAGCAAAGA